Molecule: ribosomal RNA, 460 nt
Filed under: uncultured bacterium
Lineage: Bacteria
Description: partial 16S ribosomal RNA
Rfam family: Bacterial small subunit ribosomal RNA
Source: RNAcentral
CCUACGGGAGGCAGCAGUGAGGAAUAUUGGUCAAUGGGCGGAAGCCUGAACCAGCCAAGUAGCGUGCAGGAUGACGGCCCUACGGGUUGUAAACUGCUUUUAUACGGGAAUAACGCGCCUUACGUGUAGGGCUUUGCAUGUACCGUAUGAAUAAGGACCGGCUAAUUCCGUUCCAGCAGCCGCGGUAAUACGGAAGGUCCGGGCGUUAUCCGGAUUGAUUGGGUUUAAAGGGAGCGUAGGCCGCAUGUCAAGCGUGCUGUGAAAUGUCCGGGCUCAACCCGGGCCUUGCAGCGCGAACUGGCGUGCUUGAGUCCGGGGAAGGCAGGCGGAAUUCGUGGUGUAGCGGUGAAAUGCGUAGAUAUGACGAAGAACCCCGAUUGCGAAGGCAGCUUGCUGCAGCGGAACUGACGCUGAUGUGCGAAAGCGCGGGUAUCGAACAGGAUUAGAUACCCGUGUAGUC